CUAGUGUGUUUUUGUGUGUGUGUGCGCGCAUGUGUAUGUGCGUGUACACACACACACACACACACACACACACACUGU
Podarcis lilfordi (Lilford's wall lizard) is the source of this 78-nucleotide non-coding RNA. Lineage: Eukaryota; Metazoa; Chordata; Lepidosauria; Squamata; Lacertidae. The record is from the annotation of a GenBank genome assembly.